This is a long non-coding RNA of Engraulis encrasicolus (European anchovy), 349 nucleotides long. RefSeq lists it as uncharacterized. The record is from RefSeq and is a predicted model, not a curated record. The transcript is spliced from 4 exons. NCBI's taxonomy places the organism in Eukaryota, Metazoa, Chordata, Actinopteri, Clupeiformes, Engraulidae.
CAGACCAUCUUCAAGACACCGCCUGGAGUCUGCAGCCACAAAGUCACACAUAUAAAGCAUGCAGAGUGGCAGUGGAGAUGCAUCAGCCCUUACCUGACGUACCACCCAACACCUGUGCCACCUGAGAUGCCCCAGUAUGUUUUUCUCUCCUAUCUACUGGCAAGACCAUCUUCAAGACACAGCCUGGAGCCUGCAGCCACAAAGUCGGGGACCCCAGACAGCAAAACCACACUGAUGAAAAUUCAGCAAGACCACUGGCAGCACCAACUAUCCCCCUGAUUUCAACAAGCGAACCCAACAUAAAUCAAUCUGCUGCUCAACAUAAUAAAUAAAUGUACAUUUUAUUCUA